Molecule: ribosomal RNA, 426 nt
Filed under: uncultured anaerobic ammonium-oxidizing bacterium
Lineage: Bacteria
Description: bacterial SSU rRNA
Rfam family: Bacterial small subunit ribosomal RNA
Source: RNAcentral
CUGACGCAGCGACGCCGCGUGGAGGAUGACGCCCUUCGGGGUGUAAACUCCUGUUGCCCGGGACGAAUGCCUGUUUCGACAGGAGUGACGGUACCGGGUGAGGAAGCACCGGCUAACUCUGUGCCAGCAGCCGCGGUAAUACAGAGGGUGCGAGCGUUGUCCGGAAUCACUGGGCGUAAAGGGCGCGUAGGCGGUCGGGUAAGCGUGUGGUGAAAGUCCGGGGCUCAACCCCGGAUCGGCCAUGCGAACUGUCCGACUGGAGCACGGUAGAGGCACAUGGAAUUCCGGGUGUAGCGGUGGAAUGCGUAGAGAUCCGGAAGAACACCGGUGGCGAAGGCGGUGUGCUGGGCCGUAGCUGACGCUGAGGCGCGACAGCGUGGGGAGCAAACAGGAUUAGAUACCCUGGUAGUCCACGCCGUAAACGAU